RNAcentral lists this ribosomal RNA (591 nucleotides) under Clostridioides difficile. RNAcentral's name for it is "bacterial SSU rRNA". It matches the Rfam family "Bacterial small subunit ribosomal RNA", at positions 228 to 841 of the family's 1533-position model. Lineage: Bacteria; Bacillati; Bacillota; Clostridia; Peptostreptococcales; Peptostreptococcaceae. The record is from RNAcentral.
GACCCGCGUCUGAUUAGCUAGUUGGUAAGGUAACGGCUUACCAAGGCGACGAUCAGUAGCCGACCUGAGAGGGUGAUCGGCCACAUUGGAACUGAGACACGGUCCAAACUCCUACGGGAGGCAGCAGUGGGGAAUAUUGCACAAUGGGCGAAAGCCUGAUGCAGCAACGCCGCGUGAGUGAUGAAGGCCUUCGGGUCGUAAAACGCUGUCCUCAAGGAAGAUAAUGACGGUACUUGAGGAGGAAGCCCCGGCUAACUACGUGCCAGCAGCCGCGGUAAUACGUAGGGGGCUAGCGUUAUCCGGAUUUACUGGGCGUAAAGGGUGCGUAGGCGGUCUUUCAAGUCAGGAGUGAAAGGCUACGGCUCAACCGUAGUAAGCUCUUGAAACUGGGAGACUUGAGUGCAGGAGAGGAGAGUGGAAUUCCUAGUGUAGCGGUGAAAUGCGUAGAUAUUAGGAGGAACACCAGUUGCGAAGGCGGCUCUCUGGACUGUAACUGACGCUGAGGCACGAAAGCGUGGGGAGCAAACAGGAUUAGAUACCCUGGUAGUCCACGCUGUAAACGAUGAGUACUAGGUGUCGGGGGUUACCCCC